RNAcentral lists this ribosomal RNA (499 nucleotides) under Streptococcus mitis. RNAcentral's name for it is "bacterial SSU rRNA". It matches the Rfam family "Bacterial small subunit ribosomal RNA", at positions 93 to 581 of the family's 1533-position model. Lineage: Bacteria; Bacillati; Bacillota; Bacilli; Lactobacillales; Streptococcaceae. The record is from RNAcentral.
GAGUUGCGAACGGGUGAGUAACGCGUAGGUAACCUGCCUGGUAGCGGGGGAUAACUAUUGGAAACGAUAGCUAAUACCGCAUAAUAGUAGAUGUUGCAUGACAUUUGCUUAAAAGGUGCAAUUGCAUCACUACCAGAUGGACCUGCGUUGUAUUAGCUAGUUGGUGGGUAACGGCUCACCAAGGCACGAUACAUAGCCGACCUGAGAGGGUGAUCGGCCACACUGGGACUGAGACACGGCCCAGACUCCUACGGGAGGCAGCAGUAGGGAAUCUUCGGCAAUGGACGGAAGUCUGACCGAGCAACGCCGCGUGAGUGAAGAAGGUUUUCGGAUCGUAAAGCUCUGUUGUAAGAGAAGAACGAGUGUGAGAGUGGAAAGUUCACACUGUGACGGUAUCUUACCAGAAAGGGACGGCUAACUACGUGCCGCAGCCGCGGUAAUACGUUAGGUCCCGAGCGUUGUCCGGAUUUAUUGGGCGUAAAGCGAGCGCAGGCGGUUA